GUGGGGAAUAUUGGACAAUGGGCGCAAGCCUGAUCCAGCCAUGCCGCGUGAGUGAUGAAGGCCCUAGGGUUGUAAAGCUCUAUCACCGGUGAAGAUAAUGACGGUAACCGGAGAAGAAGCCCCGGCUAACUUCGUGCCAGCAGCCGCGGUAAUACGAAGGGGGCUAGCGUUGUUCGGAAUUACUGGGCGUAAAGCGCACGUAGGCGGGUAUUUAAGUCAGGGGUGAAAUCACGGAGCUCAACUCCGGAACUGCCUUUGAUACUGGGUACCUAGAGUAUGGAAGAGGUAAGUGGAAUUCCGAGUGUAGAGGUGAAAUUCGUAGAUAUUCGGAGGAACACCAGUGGCGAAGGCGGCUUACUGGUCCAUUACUGACGCUCAUGCACGAAAGCGUGGGGAGCAAACAGGAUUAGAAACCCCUGUAGUCC
RNAcentral lists this ribosomal RNA (425 nucleotides) under uncultured bacterium. RNAcentral describes it as "partial 16S ribosomal RNA". It matches the Rfam family "Bacterial small subunit ribosomal RNA", at positions 354 to 796 of the family's 1533-position model. The record is from RNAcentral.